CACGAGAACAUAAGAUGAGUUCGGCAAAAAGCGGACGUGCUCUACCGACCCCCACUCAUCGGGUGCUUCUCUGCUGGUCGUCAACGAAACAAUUCUCGUAUUCGUAAUGGUGUCCCAAAACUGAAUUGCGGCAAAUCCAGCGCAACCAAUAGCCAAUGUGUUCCCGUCGUGCGAGUAAGCGAGAGUUUUCAAAUCAUACGCUUGUGGCGGGGAUGCACAUUGCUCAGUCAGGUCACUCAAACUCCAAACUCGUAUGACACAGUCAGUUCCAAUCGUCGUAAAAGUGCGAGAAUCCGGAGAAAAAGCAACAGCUUCGACU
RNAcentral lists this unclassified non-coding RNA (319 nucleotides) under uncultured bacterium. Its description in RNAcentral is "contains 16S-23S intergenic spacer region". The record is from RNAcentral.